RNAcentral lists this ribosomal RNA (376 nucleotides) under uncultured bacterium. Its description in RNAcentral is "bacterial SSU rRNA". It matches the Rfam family "Bacterial small subunit ribosomal RNA", at positions 524 to 898 of the family's 1533-position model. The record is from RNAcentral.
UACGUAGGUGGCAAGCGAUACUCGGAAUCACUAGGCGUAAAGCGCAGGUAGGAGGUUUAGUAAGUCUGUUGUGAAAGCUCCCGGCUUAACUGGGAGAGGUCAACGGAAACUGCUAGGCUAGAGUGCGGUAGAGGUAGCUGGAAUUCCCGGUGUAGCGGUGAAAUGCGUAGAUAUCGGGAGGAAUACCUAUGGCGAAAGCAGGCUACUGGACCGUCACUGACUCUGAUCUGCGAAAGCUAGGGGAGCAAACAGGAUUAGAUACCCUGGUAGUCCUAGCCCUAAACGAUGCUCAUUAGGUGUGGGAGGUAUCGACCCCUUCCGCGCCGUAGCUAACGCAUUAAAUGAGCCGCCUGGGGAGUACGGCCGCAAGGUUGAA